CGGACGGGUGAGUAACACGUGGAUAACCUACCUAUAAGACUGGGAUAACUUCGGGAAACCGGAGCUAAUACCGGAUAAUAUAUUGAACCGCAUGGUUCAAUGGUGAAAGAAGGUUUUGCUGUCACUUAUAGAUGGAUCCGCGCCGCAUUAGCUAGUUGGUAAGGUAACGGCUUACCAAGGCAACGAUGCGUAGCCGACCUGAGAGGGUGAUCGGCCACACUGGAACUGAGACACGGUCCAGACUCCUACGGGAGGCAGCAGGC
Molecule: ribosomal RNA, 263 nt
Filed under: uncultured Staphylococcus sp.
Lineage: Bacteria; Bacillati; Bacillota; Bacilli; Caryophanales; Staphylococcaceae
Description: partial 16S ribosomal RNA
Rfam family: Bacterial small subunit ribosomal RNA
Source: RNAcentral